GAUGAACGCUAGCGGCAGGCCUAAUACAUGCAAGUCGAACGGAUAUAUGUUUUUCGGAAUAUAUAUUAGUGGCGCACGGGUGAGUAACACGUACAUAACUUGCCCUCAAGCGGGGGAUAGCCUUGGGAAACUGAGAGUAAUACCCCAUAGAAUUAUUGGACGGCAUCGUUUGAUAAUUAAAACUACGGUGUUUGGGGUAGUAGAUGUGCGUCUGAUUAGCUAGUUGGUGAGGUAACUGCUCACCAAGGCGACGAUCAGUAGGGGGCGGUGAGAGCGUGGCCCCCACCACGGUACGUGAGACACGGACCCGACUCCUACGGGAGGGC
This 326-nucleotide ribosomal RNA is filed under the name uncultured bacterium. RNAcentral describes it as "bacterial SSU rRNA". It matches the Rfam family "Bacterial small subunit ribosomal RNA", at positions 28 to 350 of the family's 1533-position model. The record is from RNAcentral.